Molecule: ribosomal RNA, 697 nt
Filed under: uncultured bacterium
Lineage: Bacteria
Description: bacterial SSU rRNA
Rfam family: Bacterial small subunit ribosomal RNA
Source: RNAcentral
ACAGACGUUCAUGCACGAAAGCGUGGGUAGCAAACAGGAUUAGAUACCCUGGUAGUCCACGCCCUAAACGAUGUCAACUAGGUGUUGGGUGGGUAAAACCAUUUAGUACCGUAGCUAACGCGUGAAGUUGACCGCCUGGGGAGUACGGCCGCAAGGUUAAAACUCAAAGGAAUUGACGGGGACCCGCACAAGCGGUGGAUGAUGUGGAUUAAUUCGAUGCAACGCGAAAAACCUUACCUACCCUUGACAUGUCCAGAAGCCCGAAGAGAUUUGGGUGUGCCCGAAAGGGAGCUGGAACACAGGUGCUGCAUGGCUGUCGUCAGCUCGUGUCGUGAGAUGUUGGGUUAAGUCCCGCAACGAGCGCAACCCUUGUCGUUAAUUGCCAUCAUUUAGUUGGGCACUUUAACGAGACUGCCGGUGACAAACCGGAGGAAGGUGGGGAUGACGUCAAGUCCUCAUGGCCCUUAUGGGUAGGGCUUCACACGUCAUACAAUGGUCGGUACAGAGGGUUGCCAAGCCGCGAGGUGGAGCCAAUCCCAGAAAGCCGAUCGUAGUCCGGAUUGCAGGCUGCAACUCGCCUGCAUGAAGUCGGAAUCGUUAGUAAUCGCGGAUCAGCAUGUCGCGGUGAAUACGUUCCCGGGUCUAGUACACACCGCCCGUCACACCAUGGGAGCGGGUUCCGCCAGAAGUAGGUAGC